RNAcentral lists this ribosomal RNA (253 nucleotides) under uncultured bacterium. RNAcentral's name for it is "partial 16S ribosomal RNA". It matches the Rfam family "Bacterial small subunit ribosomal RNA", at positions 524 to 776 of the family's 1533-position model. The record is from RNAcentral.
GACGGACCACACGAACGUUAUUCGGAAUUACUGGGCUUAAAGGGUGCGUAGGCUGUGCAGAAAGUUGGGUGUGAAAGCCCUCGGCUUAACCGAGGAACUGCGCCCAAAACUACUGUGCUCGAGGGAGACAGAGGUGAGCGGAACUUAGGGUGGAGCGGUGAAAUGCGUUGAUAUCCUAAGGAACACCGGUGGCGAAAGCGGCUCACUGGGUCUCUUCUGACGCUGAUGCGCGAAAGCUAGGGGAGCGAACGUG